CUAGUGAAAGGUGUCCCUGCUCAUGGCAGGUGGGCUGGAAUUAGAUGAUCUUUGUGGUCCCUACCAGCUCAAACCAAACUGUGGCUCAGGAAAGGCACAGACAGAGCCUCUUGUGCUUUAUGCACAAGUGGAUUCAAAAUAGCUUCCUAAGAAUACAUGGGAACAUUUCCCAAUCUCCUAUGAUCUCACUGGAUGUACUGUUUUUUCCCGGUGUUGAGGUGCUCACCUUGACCACUGCAGCGGCCCAACUGACCAACAAGGCUGUGCCUGCAACCAGGGUGCAGAAACAGGCCCUGGGGCAAGGAGCAUGUCCAGUGUAGUUCAAAGUGCUGCAUAGCACACCUCCAUGAGGCAGGGUGUGAUGCCACCCAAGAUAAAAUGUAAGCCCACCACUCAGGAAGAGAAGGUAUCCAAAUAAAGCACAGAAUAAUGGAAUCAUUAAGAUUGGAAACUAUCUCCAGAUGCACGUAGGAGGGCUUACCUGGACUGAGAGAUUAACUUCUGGAAAGCAGCCAGCACAUUUGAAGGAGCUGUCAAGAUGUCCUUUAGGGCAUGGUAACUGAAGUGAACCUCACCCUUAGAAAUUUAUAAAACAAUCUGCCUUGGGAUAAGAGCUCUUUACUUGCUUCAAGUGUAUGAGGGGGAAGGUUGUGAUGUUCAUGAUGACUUCAGGCUGCUGGCAGGAUGAAGACAUGAAAUGGACAAAUGAGAUUUGCUGAGUCUUGUAAAAUGAAAGCUGAGGUGGGAUUCUGUUGCUGUCGAUUGAUAGGAAAGUAAAUGUCAGGGAAGGGGGAAUGUACAGCAGAUGAAGAAGAAGUGAGUAUCAUGAGCAGGUGAAUGUAUUCAAGCUGUAAAUUAUAAUAAUGUUGGUAACCAUCAUGUCAAAAUUUAAAAAGAUGCAAGAAAGCCUCCAGGAAGAACAAAUUCUCUGAAGUUUACAUACGGGGCUUGAUGCAUUUCUGACAAAUAUAUUAUAUGGUUUCCUGUUUGAGAAAAUAACCUGCCUUAAUACAUUAGACGUACACUUCCUUAUAUAAAGAAAGGUAGCUUCAUGUUUCCAUAAAACUAUUUCUUGUUUUACAUCAAGGAAAAUGUGAAAAGCAAGAAACAAUGCAUAUAAAGACACGAGGACAUAGCAAAGUGCAUGCAUCACCUCCCAGCUGCCCCUGUGAUGCUCUAAUUCUGCUUCACAAAGGAGUCAGAGGAAUAGGCAGCAGCUCACAUGAGACUGUAGAACAUGUUCGACUGAAUCCUCUAAGAUCUAAACUGAGCCAGCAAUGCAGAGUUCAGGGGAAAUAUUUCUCGUUAUCUCAGAAACUAGGUGGUUAUGGACACCAGUAUGACCUGGAAGGGGCUGAACAAACUCAACCCCUGUAACGCCCAUUUGUCACUUGAAGUAAGUACAAGACUGAGGAACGUUUGAAUCUGGGGGCAGCAGCUCAGAUGACUUGUUCUAUUUGGCUUGCAAAAUUGUUCCUGUCUGUGCAGAUGAAAUCCCUGUGCUCACUGCCAUGACUGUGCAGAAUGCAGUUAUUUUAAAAAAGGAUUAUCUCUUUUUUACAGACAAAAGAACCUAUUGUAUUUCUAUGUAUUUAUUUAUUUCCCCUGCAGAACAGAGGAGAAGGCUUUUAGGUAUAGAAAAUAUGCAGGUUUUAAAACAAAUUUAAGACAGGACCAGCCAGAAGUUCCAGACAAGUAAUCUGGUCUGAUUUAUGGAGCAGCACAGUUUUAUUCAGGUUAAUAGGUUUAUUCGUUUAAUCCACAUUAAGUGGAACUGGAGCAUUGAUGUUUCAUAAAGAUAUUGGAGGCUCCCAGAGAUCAAGAAGCCACCUCUUCUACUGUUGAGCAGUGGCUUUUUUCAUUCAUUGUACAAAACCCUUCACUUUGUGUUUUCUUUGCAUGUAUCUGGCUUCAGCCUACACCUGUUAAUUCUUUUUUCUCUCUGCUGUUAACAAUGCCCAUUGGAAACAAAACUGUCUUCACAUGAAGGUCCUCCUUGAUAUGUUAGCACUGUGAUCUGCUUCUGACAAAUUAAGUAGAUUGAACUUUUUCACUCUCUCACAUGGAUAUAUCUGGCCAGAUGUGCACUUCUACCCAACAGAUGGCUGUACAGCACUAGUCACCAUCCCUCUGGAGUCAGCUCAGACAAAUGAGCUCUUUCACGGUGAAGUUCAUCUCAUCCCAAAGUGAAUCUUUAAACCAGAAUGGAUAAAUGUCUCUCACAGCUUUCCUAUGUCUCUCUAGCAAUAAUCAAGGAACUCUGUGCUGGCUGCUUCUCGCUGCUUCUCAUGUCACUGCCUGCAUUAUAGACUUCUGCAUUUAGGCAAGAUGAAUCUGACUUUUGGACUAAGGCAUUUUCCCAGCUUUGAAUCAUUUCCUUGGCUUCCUCCUCUGCACAUCACACUGAUGAGGCUUUUCAGAUCUCCAGCAGAUGCAUGGUGUUAUUGCCUAUGUAUGAGACUCACUCUCAAGUGCUGGGGGUGCACACAGGGGCAGUUCACUGAAAAUCUGGUUAGGGAGAUAGAGCUGGAUUUCAGUAUUUAUGCUGUCCACAGUUUGUGCUUGCUAUUGAUUGUACCUUUUUAAUAAGUUGCAUGUGGCACAGAUGAGAAAAUACCUUAAUAAUUAUAGUCCCCUGGAAAAAGAACAGAUUAUGUAACUAUUGAUCUUAAUACUUUUGUUCCAUAACUCUUUUCCAUUUUUCUGCAUCACAAGUUUCAGCUCCUUCCAUCCAGCUUGGUUUCCAACAUUAGCCAUUCAGCUGUAUCUACUUGUACCAGGCUCAGCCACUAGCCCUGCCAGACAGCUGCCAGGUAUUUUAUUGUUAAAUAAAUUCUUACAUCUGUCAAGUUAUAAAGCAGAGACAAAUGAA
Molecule: long non-coding RNA, 2872 nt
Organism: Corvus hawaiiensis (hawaiian crow)
Lineage: Eukaryota; Metazoa; Chordata; Aves; Passeriformes; Corvidae
Exons: 2
Source: RefSeq, a predicted model, not a curated record